GGGUAGGUGGCGGAGUAGACAAACGCACCAGUCUGUAAAACUGGCGGCCAUUGGCCUUCGGGGGUGCAAAUCCCUCCCUACCCACUA
Molecule: transfer RNA, 87 nt
Filed under: Candidatus Parcubacteria bacterium
Lineage: Bacteria; Candidatus Parcubacteria
Description: tRNA-Tyr
Rfam family: tRNA
About the family: Transfer RNA (tRNA) molecules are approximately 80 nucleotides in length. Their secondary structure includes four short double-helical elements and three loops (D, anti-codon, and T loops).
Source: RNAcentral